GCGACCCCAGGUCAGGCUGGAACUACCCCACUAA
RNAcentral lists this ribosomal RNA (34 nucleotides) under Tagetes sp. 2 JACM-2013. RNAcentral's name for it is "partial 28S ribosomal RNA". Lineage: Eukaryota; Viridiplantae; Streptophyta; Magnoliopsida; Asterales; Asteraceae. The record is from RNAcentral.